Molecule: non-coding RNA, 596 nt
Organism: Pelobates cultripes (western spadefoot toad)
Lineage: Eukaryota; Metazoa; Chordata; Amphibia; Anura; Pelobatidae
Source: the annotation of a GenBank genome assembly
CCGAACAGCCAGCUCCCCCUGGGGCCGCCAAAGGUGCUCCCCCAUGCGGCCACCAGAAGAGCCAGCUGCCGGCCCGGCACUCCUGUUAAAUGUACCCUGCAGUGUUCUUUUAAUAAUUCGUGCCAUUUGUCAACUUGGAAUUCACUAAAGCAAGGAAAACCAUUACUAUAUGGUGCCUCUGAAUUUUUUCCUGAAAAGUACCCUGAUCUUCUAUCAUGGUUUGAAGUUCUAGUUCAGCAAUAAAUGGAAAUCUACAUUUUGAAAAUAUUCUACCAAACUAUUGUUGAUGUGCCAGGAACGUUCCACUAACUUUAAUCCUACCAGAUUCACUUAGACGUAAAUAAACUUUCAUUAUCUUAUUGUACAGCGCAAAUAAUAGUCAUGUAAUACCACGUGGAUAUGUGUUCUGAGAGAUAAGAAUAUGAGUGUGACUGUCAUAAACAAUCUCGUCUCACUUGAACAUGCAGAUUACAAACCCGUGCAUAAUAUGGAAAUGCACUAAAUGUGGGUGUGUUCCAGGGAGUAAAAGGCUAGGCAGUAUUACUUUGUAUAUUAUCUUCAUUAUAUGAUGUUUGGCUUCUGUGACAAAGCGCAUU